This 703-nucleotide ribosomal RNA is filed under the name uncultured fungus. Its description in RNAcentral is "SSU rRNA". It matches the Rfam family "Eukaryotic small subunit ribosomal RNA", at positions 392 to 1096 of the family's 1831-position model. Lineage: Eukaryota; Fungi. The record is from RNAcentral.
GAGCCUGAGAAACGGCUACCACAUCCAAGGAUGGCAGCAGGCGCGCAAAUUACCCAAUCCCGACACGGGGAGGUAGUGACAAUAAAUAACAAUACGGGGUUCUUUAGGAUCUCGUAAUUGGAAUGAGUACAAUUUAAAUCUCUUAACGAGGAACAAUUGGAGGGCAAGUCUGGUGCCAGCAGCCGCGGUAAUUCCAGCUCCAAUAGCGUAUAUUAAAGUUGUUGCAGUUAAAAAGCUCGUAGUUGAAUUUCGGGGUUAGUAGGUUGGUCAUGCCUCUGGUAUGUACUGGUCUCACUGAUUCCUCCUUCCUUAUGAACCGUAAUGCCAUUAAUUUGGUGUUGCGGGGAAUUUGGACUGUUACUUUGAAAAAAUUAGAGUGUUUAAAGCAAGCUAACGCUUGAAUACAUUAGCAUGGAAUAAUGAAAUAGGACGUUCGAUCUUAUUUUGUUGGUUUCUAGGAUUGACGUAAUGAUUAAUAGGGAUAGUUGGGGGCAUUAGUAUUCAAUUGUCAGAGGUGAAAUUCUUGGAUUUAUUGAAGACUAACUACUGCGAAAGCAUUUGCCAAGGAUGUUUUCAUUAAUCAAGAACGAAAGUUAGGGGAUCGANNNCGAUCAGAUACCGUCGUAGUCUUAACCAUAAACUAUGCCGACUAGGGAUCGGAUGAUGUUAAUUUUUUAAUGACUCAUUCGGCGCCUUACGGGAA